UACGGGGGGAGCAAGCGUUGUUCGGAUUUCCUGGGCGUAAAGGGCGCGUAGGCUGCCUCUGCAAGUCGACUGUGAAAUCUCCGGGCUUAACCCGGAAAGGUCAGCCGAUACUGCAGGGCUAGAGUGCAGAAGGGGCAACUGGAAUUCUCGGUGUAGCGGUGAAAUGCGUAGAUAUCAAGCGGAACACCAGUGGCGAAGGCGAGUCCCUGGACAACACCUGACACUGAGGCACGAAAGCUAGGGGAGCAAACAGG
Molecule: ribosomal RNA, 254 nt
Filed under: uncultured bacterium
Lineage: Bacteria
Description: partial 16S ribosomal RNA
Rfam family: Bacterial small subunit ribosomal RNA
Source: RNAcentral